RNAcentral lists this long non-coding RNA (874 nucleotides) under Zonotrichia albicollis (white-throated sparrow). RNAcentral describes it as "lncRNA (ENSZALG00000000547.1)". The record is from RNAcentral. Lineage: Eukaryota; Metazoa; Chordata; Aves; Passeriformes; Passerellidae.
AUGUUUGAUUGUCACAGCAAUGGCCCUUGGGGACACCGCGAUGUCACCACAUUGUCACCGAGGUGGCCUUUGGGGACACCGCAUUGUCCUGGUGGUGGCUCCUUGGGGACACCUCAGUGCCACUGCGGUGGCCUUUGGGGACAUCAGCCCCAUGGUGGCUCCUCGGGGACACCACUGUCACCAUGGUGCCCUUUGGGGACACCUCAUUGUCACUGUGGUGACCCUUGGGGACACCUCAAUGCCACCAUGGUGGCUCCUUGGGGACACCACUGUCACCACAGUGGCCCUUGGGGACACGUUGUGCUGGUGGCGGCUCCUUGGGGACAUCCCAGUGUCACCGUGGUGGCCUUUGGAGACACCACUGUCACCUCGAUGGCUCCUUGGGGACAUCUCAGUGCCACCGUGGUGGCCCCUGGGGACACGUUGUCCUUGUGGUGGCCCUUGAGGACAGCAUCGUGCCACUGUGGUGGCUCCUUGGGGACAUCUCAGUGUCACUGUGGUGGCUCCUUGGGGACAGCACCGUGUGCCCACAGUCUGUCCUGGUGUCACCUGGUGUCCCCUGGUGCCAUCCCGGUGCCACCUGUCCAUGUCCUGGUGCCACCUGGUGCCAUUUUGGUGUCACCUGUGCCAUCCUGGUGCCAUCCUGGUGUCACCUGCUGCCAUUUUGGUGUCACCUGCUGCCAUCCCAGUGUCACCUGUCCAUCUUGGUGCCAUCUUGGUGCCAUUUCGGUGUCGCCUGGCCACGUCCUGGGCCACCCUGAUGUCACCUGGUGCCAUCUUGGCUCCAUUUUGGUGUCACCUGGUUCCAUUUGGUGUCACCUGGUGCCAUCCCAGUGUCACCUGUCCAUCCCAGUGUCCCCUGGUGCCAUUUUGG